ACCUGACUGCUAUCGGAUUGAUACUAAGCCAUGCGAGUCAUUGUAGCAAUACAAGGCAUACGGCUCAGUAACGCGUAGUCAACCUAACCUAUGGACGGGAAUAACCUCGGGAAACUGAGAAUAAUGCCCGAUAGAACACUAUACCUGGAAUGGUUUGUGUUCCAAAUGAUUUAUCGCCAUAGGAUGGGACUGCGGCCUAUCAGUUUGUUGGUGAGGUAAUGGCCCACCAAGACUAUUACAGGUACGGGCUCUGAGAGGAGUAGCCCGGAGAUGGGUACUGAGACACGGACCCAGGCCCUAUGGGGCGCAGCAGGCGAGAAAACUUUGCAAUGUGCGAAAGCACGACAAGGUUAAUCCGAGUGAUUUGUGCUAAACGAAUCUUUUGUUAGUCCUAGAAACACUAACGAAUAAGGGGUGGGCAAGUUCUGGUGUCAGCCGCCGCGGUAAAACCAGCACCUCAAGUGGUCAGGAUGAUUAUUGGGCCUAAAGCAUCCGUAGCCGGCUCUGUAAGUUUUCGGUUAAAUCUGUACGCUUAACGUACAGGCUGCCGGGAAUACUGCAGAGCUAGGGAGUGGGAGAGGUAGACGGUACUCGGUAGGAAGUGGUAAAAUGCUUUGAUCUAUCGAUGACCACCUGUGGCGAAGGCGGUCUACCAGAACACGUCCGACGGUGAGGGAUGAAAGCUGGGGGAGCAAACCGGAUUAGAUACCCGGGUAGUCCCAGCUGUAAACUAUGCAAACUCAGUGAUGCAUUGGCUUGUGGCCAAUGCAGUGCUGCAGGGAAGCCGUUAAGUUUGCCGCCUGGGAAGUACGUACGCAAGUAUGAAACUUAAAGGAAUUGGCGGGGGAGCACCACAAGGGGUGAAGCCUGCGGUUC
Molecule: ribosomal RNA, 876 nt
Filed under: uncultured crenarchaeote
Lineage: Archaea; Thermoproteati; Thermoproteota
Also listed under: 1 other name
Description: bacterial SSU rRNA
Rfam family: Archaeal small subunit ribosomal RNA
Source: RNAcentral